Molecule: long non-coding RNA, 458 nt
Organism: Dermacentor silvarum
Lineage: Eukaryota; Metazoa; Arthropoda; Arachnida; Ixodida; Ixodidae
Exons: 3
Source: RefSeq, a predicted model, not a curated record
GAAGGACCAUGAAGCUGAUGUUGACGCUUCUCAUCUUUGCCAUUUCUGGCCUUUUGGUGCCAGACAGUACAACUUUGCCAAAUGGUGAGGCAUUUGGAGUUGCCUCAAAGGAAGCUCAGCGCUUGGACGGAAGUGCUGAAGACGCCGAAGCCCGUCUAUCUGUGGCCUGUGUGAACAACAACUGUGCAGUUUCACUGCUGAGAAAAUAAGGGCAAACCCCGGGAAAAUGCAUUCGGCACUGAAACGCAGCCACGGCUACUUCGGUCCGUUUCUUUUCGGAAGAAGCAGCUCAGUUCCUGAACCGCAGCUGCAAACGACGCCGGGCGGAAUAAACUCCUUCAAGCUAUCCUGAAUGAAAAUGUGGGAUGCUUUACAGCGAAGCUGUCUAUCGCUAGGAUCCCAGUGUUCUCUCAUGGCGUAACGUCGACACAAAACUAUCAUCUUCAACGGUUGAUACC